CUCCUUAUGCCCCUUAAACAACAAUCAUAAAGGCCCAGGCCCACCUACAGCAAUAGCGAUCCCGCCGACCCAUCAAGGGCAAGGAGCAUUCCACUCCGCCUCACUCAACCCAAGGUCCUGGGGUCCGACAUGCUCGACCCCUCGCUGGCGAAACUCCGCCUCGCCCGACCCACGGUCCCAAGGUCGGAUGCACCCGACCCCUCGCCGCACGGCUCUGCCUCGCCCGACCCCGGGCGUAGGGGGUCAGA
This 248-nucleotide long non-coding RNA is filed under the name Setaria italica (foxtail millet). Its description in RNAcentral is "long non-coding RNA (SITA_LNC004976)". The record is from RNAcentral. Lineage: Eukaryota; Viridiplantae; Streptophyta; Magnoliopsida; Poales; Poaceae.